UGGCUACCCAACACCGGACUUGCGGGCAGUCGGACAUCACCGGCCCUGGGAGAUCUGAACCCACGGCCGGUCUCGUCAUAAAGAGCCAUUCGUACAGUUUAUGCUGUCGGCUAUGGUUCUAAGAAUGCGCUUCCAAGUCGAUGGCUAGUACCACCGCAAUGACACUGGCAUCUAGAUGCCAGGACCGGCCAGGACCGGGAUAAGUAGAGGAAAGAAAGGGUUAACUUGACUCAUCUACUACCCGGGCUUCAAAUCUCUCCUUUCCAAUACUUCACUCUGCUCUACAGUGCCUUUUUCUGUGUGUAGCGAAAGAUGAUCCGAGAAGCAGUCGUUUGCUUAUUCCAAAAUCAGCGUGCCAGAGCCUAGGAAAGGAAGGGUGCAUUCUAGACAGGAAGCCCCCUUCCUCCACGUCCUACAGCUGUGUGGAGCUCAGCCAGAAGCAAAGCCAGAACUGUGGCUGGCAACCGGACCAUGGAGGCUGCCUGAGGCUUCGCACAGAGGGCCAUGCGAUCUUGUCAGAUCUUGGGUAUCAUCCGGCUUUGCUCCUGAUCAAGUCAGAUGGAAGGAACUCAACCCUGAAGCAGCCCCUCAUGUGGGAUUGUCCUCAAAACCAAGCAACUACCAUCCGGUGGAGUUCCGCUGCUCGGUUUACCAACAUCAUCCCAGGUGGGCUGUUGACUGUUUAUACGCCUGCAUUUGGGGUAAAGGAGGGCCAUGAGGCCCUCACCUGUGUAUGUAAAUGCCUUAAUUGCACAGCUCUUGGGGAAGAUCUAGAACUUUGGGGGCAGGAAAGGCUAGUAGGAGGGGCCCUCAUCUCUGCAGGGUAAAGGCUUUCCUGGUGUGACCUCUCCCUGUAAGUAACCUCCCACGUAAGCUCUGUAAGGAAGUCCGAUAAACUCCUGGGUUCCUCGGAGUGAACUUUGGCAGGAUUUUGCCUCCAUUUGACCUGGGACCCGAAGAGGAGGACAAGCAUUGCUGAAGUCUCUCUCUGGAAAGGAUUUCAGCAAUACUCCCAUUCUUUCUUUUUGGUCUUCAGUUGAGGUAAAUAAAGCGAGAUCACGGGUCUUUGGAAAACUAAACUAUGAAAACACAGGAAAAGGCUAGGAUUUCCCAUGGGGAAUGACCAUUGACUCAGAGAUUUAACAGGCUCUAGGGGCAGCACAGACUGGAUUCAGCAAAAAAUGUCUAAAGGCACUCGGGAGGCAGAGGCAGGCGGAUCUCUGUGAGUUCAAGACCAGCCUGGUCUACAGAGCUAGUUCCAGGACAGGCUCCAAAGCUACAGAGAAACCCUGUCUCGAAAAAUCAAAAAAAAAAAAAUGUCUGAAGGAUGGGAACAAUUUCAAACACUUGCCUUCACACAAUUAAAAACGUGUAAAAGAGGCCUUAAGUAAGGAAUGACAAUUUCCAUUACUUGGAAUGGCUGUGAUAGUGGACAGCAUGGCAACCUGGCUUCAAAUGACACAAAUGAACAGAAACAAAUUUUUUAAAAGCAUUUUUAUCAUGCAUUUCUCAUUUUCUGAUAAAAAAUUAAAAAACAGUAACAGUGGAUAUGACAAAAGUAUAUAAUAAAUAUGUAUGAAAUGUCAUAAUGAAACCUACCAUUUUGUAUAAUGAUUAUAUAGUAAUAAGACUUUUUAAAAUAAGGGCCAAGCAUAGUGGUGCACAUCUCUAAUUUGAAGUAUUUGAGAGACAGAUGCAGGCCAAUCUCUGACUCUGAGGUCAGCAUGAUCCACACAUAGCAAGCUCUAGACCAGCCAGACUGAGCAAGUACUGAGUCCUUGUCUCAAACUCCUGCCCCCACCGCCCUUUUAAAGAGAUAAAACAAAGGCUGAGGAGAUAGCUCAGUAGCUAAAGUGUUUGCCUUGCUGCAAGCAUCAGACCUAAAUUCAACUCCAAAAACUCAUUUACAGCCUCCCUGCUGGGGAGGCAAAUCCCUGGGGCUUUCUAGGAAGUUUAGCCCACUUGGUGACUUCAGAACAGUGAGAGGCCUGUGUGUGUGUGUGUGUGUGUGUGUGUGUGUGUGUGUGUGUGUGUGUGUGUAGGGGAUGGGGGUAGGGUGGAUAGAGAGAGACAGACAAGACAGCCUGAAAUACACCUGAGGCUUCUCAUUCUAACCUGUGAAUUCUUAAGCCCUUGUUUUUUGAAUUCACAAAAGUAAAUUCUGCGACCAAAGAAAUGCAUGUGCAAGUUUGGUCUUUACCUAUUCUAAAUUUGAGAAAUCAGACACAUCUGGGGGCUAUGGCAUCUAAUUUCUAGUCUCUUGGAGAUUCGAUUCAUGCUAUACAAUCUGUGUUUUAUCUGUUAAGUGAUAUAUCCAAAAGGAGCCUUGGCGUGGCUAUGGAUAGCUUUUUCCCUAAGCAGAUUUAUGCAUUCCUGAGGAUCUGAUUACGUGGUCUGAUCCUCUGAUGUUUUAAAAUAUCAGUAUGUUGUCUUCAGUUAGGACUGCAGCACAGAAGCAAACACGCCAAACAUUUAAAAAUGCUCUCGCUUUUCAUAUCAGAUUCGCCAACUGGCAUCAAGUACGAAAGUCGGUGUGUUGUCCCGCUACAGGGGAACACCAGUUGGAGACCUUGAGGGUGCUAGAUUUAGACUUGAGACUGUCAAAAAUGGGACAAUGAACUGGGCUCACUCAGAAAGCCUGGAUUCUGCCCUACUUUGUACGUGGAAACCCUAGAGGACCACUUAACUCUCUGCAAACAAAAGGAAUAGUAAGGUCUGUGUGUGGUAUAAAGUUCACUUGAGAAAAGAGCUGCUAAAUCACCCCCAAAAAAAAAAAAAAAAAAAAACCAAUCCCUGACACCCCGCCACCAGAUUCCCUAGGCAGCAAGAACCGUGCUAGACUCCUGAUAGUCUGCCAUUCCCCGGAGAGGCGGAGGGGGCAGGUAUCCUCGUCGAGCCUCCCUGCGCUCGGUCACAAGGCUAGGAACCUCGGAGUGGCUGGACUCGGCCCGGCCCGCGCGCCCGCGGCCGCUCAGGGGCCGCUCGGGCGAGCGGGCGGCGCGCGGGCUCCGAGGCCGGUGCCGCGGCUCUAACGUGCCGCACGGGAAGGCCGGCCGAUCCGAGCCGAGCGGA
Molecule: long non-coding RNA, 3072 nt
Organism: Alexandromys fortis (reed vole)
Lineage: Eukaryota; Metazoa; Chordata; Mammalia; Rodentia; Cricetidae
Exons: 3
Source: RefSeq, a predicted model, not a curated record